GGAAGUAAAAGUCGUAACAAGGUCUCCGUUGGUGAACCAGCGGAGGGAUCAUUACCGAGUUUACAACUCCCAAACCCCUGUGAACAUACCACUUGUUGCCUCGGCGGAUCAGCCCGCUCCCGGUAAAACGGGACGGCCCGCCAGAGGACCCCUAAACUCUGUUUCUAUAUGUAACUUCUGAGUAAAACCAUAAAUAAAUCAAAACUUUCAACAACGGAUCUCUUGGUUCUGGCAUCGAUGAAGAACGCAGCAAAAUGCGAUAAGUAAUGUGAAUUGCAGAAUUCAGUGAAUCAUCGAAUCUUUGAACGCACAUUGCGCCCGCCAGUAUUCUGGCGGGCAUGCCUGUUCGAGCGUCAUUCAACCCUCAAGCACAGCUUGGUGUUGGGACUCGCGUUAAUUCGCGUUCCUCAAAUUGAUUGGCGGUCACGUCGAGCUUCCAUAGCGUAGUAGUAAAACCCUCGUUACUGGUAAUCGUCGCGGCCACGCCGUUAAACCCCAACUUCUGAAUGUUGACCUCGGAUCAGGUAGGAAUACCCGCUGAACUUAAGCAUAUCAAUAAGCGGAGGA
RNAcentral lists this ribosomal RNA (567 nucleotides) under uncultured fungus. RNAcentral's name for it is "eukaryotic LSU rRNA". The stretch from base 203 to 356 matches the Rfam family "5.8S ribosomal RNA". The record is from RNAcentral. Lineage: Eukaryota; Fungi.